RNAcentral lists this ribosomal RNA (433 nucleotides) under uncultured bacterium. Its description in RNAcentral is "partial 16S ribosomal RNA". It matches the Rfam family "Bacterial small subunit ribosomal RNA", at positions 29 to 507 of the family's 1533-position model. The record is from RNAcentral.
AACGAACGCUGGCGGCAUGCCUAACACAUGCAAGUCGAACGAGACCUUCGGGUCUAGUGGCGCACGGGUGCGUAACGCGUUGGAACCUGCCCUUAGGUUCGGAAUAACUCCCCGAAAGGGGUGCUAAUACCGGAUAAUGUCUUCGGACCAAAGAUUUAUCGCCUUUGGAUGGGCCCGCGUUGGAUUAGCUAGUUUGUAGGGUAAAAGCCUACCAAGGCGACGAUCCAUAGCUGGUCUGAGAGGAUGAUCAGCCACACUGGGACUGAGACACGGCCCAGACUCCUACGGGAGGCAGCAGGGGGGAAUAUUGGACAAUGGGCGAAAGCCUGAGCCAGCAAUGCCGCGUGAGUGAUGAAGGAAUUAGGGUUGUAAAGCUCUUUUACCCGGGAUGAUAAUGACAGUACCGGGAGAAUAAGCUCCGGCUAACUCCGUG